This 1227-nucleotide ribosomal RNA is filed under the name uncultured bacterium. RNAcentral describes it as "bacterial SSU rRNA". It matches the Rfam family "Bacterial small subunit ribosomal RNA", at positions 8 to 1240 of the family's 1533-position model. The record is from RNAcentral.
AGAGUUUGAUCCUGGCUCAGGAUGAACGCUGGCGGCGCGCCUAACACAUGCAAGUCGAACGGCACCCCUCUCCGGAGGGAAGCGAGUGGCGAACGGCUGAGUAACACGUGGAGAACCUGCCCCCUCCCCCGGGAUAGCCGCCCGAAAGGACGGGUAAUACCGGAUACCCCGGGGUGCCGCAUGGCACCCCGGCUAAAGCCCCGACGGGAGGGGAUGGCCCCGCGGCCCAUCAGGUAGACGGCGGGGUGACGGCCCACCGUGCCGACAACGGGUAGCCGGGUUGAGAGACCGACCGGCCAGAUUGGGACUGAGACACGGACCAGACUCCUACGGGAGGCAGCAGUGAGGAAUAUUGGUCAAUGGUCGAGAGACUGAACCAGCCAAGUCGCGUGAGGGAUGACUGCCUUAUGGGUUGUAAACCUCUUUUCUACUGGGAGAAUAAGCCCUAUGUAUAGGGUGAUGACAGUACAGUAGGAAUAAGCAUCGGCUAACUCCGUGCCAGCAGCCGCGGUAAUACGGAGGAUGCGAGCGUUAUCCGGAUUUAUUGGGUUUAAAGGGUGCGUAGGCGGCUUUAUAAGUUAGUGGUAAAAUUUCGGAGCUUCACUCUGGUCCGCCAUUAAAACUGUAGAGCUAGAGAAUGGACGAGGUAGGCGGAAUAAGUUAAGUAGCGGUGAAAUGCAUAGAUAUAACUUAGAACUCCGAUAGCGAAGGCAGCUUACCAGACCAUAACUGACGCUGAUGCACGAGAGCGUGGGUAGCGAACAGGAUUAGAUACCCUGGUAGUCCACGCCGUAAACGAUGCUCACCGGCCCUUGGCGAUAAGACAGUUAGGGGUUAAUUGAAAGAAUUAAGUGAGCCACCUGGGGAGUACGUCGGCAACGAUGAAACUCAAAGGAAUUGACGGGGGCCCGCACAAGCGGAGGAACAUGUGGUUUAAUUCGAUGAUACGCGAGGAACCUUACCUGGGUUUAAAUGUAUGUUGCAUAAUCUGGAAACAGUUUUUCUCUUCGGAGCCAUAUACAAGGUGCUGCAUGGUUGUCGUCAGCUCGUGCCGUGAGGCGUCGGGUUAAGUCCCAUAACGAGCGCAACCCUUACCGUUAGUUGCUAGCAUGUAAUGAUGAGCACUCUAGCGGGACUGCCACCGUAAGGUGAGAGGAAGGGGGGGAUGACGUCAAAUCAGCACGGCCCUUACAUCCAGGGCGACACACGUGUUACAAUGGCCAUAAC